RNAcentral lists this long non-coding RNA (1073 nucleotides) under Equus caballus (horse). Its description in RNAcentral is "lncRNA (ENSECAG00000047341.1)". The record is from RNAcentral. Lineage: Eukaryota; Metazoa; Chordata; Mammalia; Perissodactyla; Equidae.
CGGAUUCUAAUCCUAAAAAUCCCUCUACUCAAAAGGAGUUCCGCAGAACUCAGACGGGCAGAUGUGCGCAGUCUCCGUGGCACGUACGCCAGAGCCCGGGGAGUUGCUCAAUACAGCGCUUCUCCUGCGUGGCCAAUGGAGAGCCGGAGACUUGUCUUCCCGAAGGCGCUGCAACUGCGGCGUGGGACUGCAUGCUGGGAAUUGUAGUUCCGCACUGUGGUAAUUCCACUCCUGGGAAACUGUCAGCUAGAAAUAAAGCACCAUUCCGUUACGAUAUUCUCUGAUUGGAAAGUCUAGCCACCUGGGACAUGAGAGACAUGAAAAUUCAGACUUAAAGACUGCACAUUUGCCUUUGAUCAUCUUACAGGGAUUGUAACUUCUUUUGAUGUCUACUAGCAGCUCCAGAAUUAAAUCCUCAACAGAAGAAGAGUUUCUUUCUUCCUAAGAAUUGUGUCUAGUCCUGAGUCACCUGCUGGAGCCAGAGAUGGACCACACCAUGUGAACCGCGUGAGCUGAGAAUAGGAAGGAAUGAUUCCCAAGGGGAAAUCGAGAGCUGUUGCCAAAAGAAGGGGAAUGGAUGCUGGUGAGAGGGGCAUAAGCGCACACUGUGUACUACAAGACCUUUCUCUCUCCUGCUCUCUCAUCCUCACUCACGUACACACACAUUGCCUCUUCCCGUCCUUCUACCUGACCAGCUGUGUGAUCUUGGUUAACCUUCCCAGAGCUUCUUUGUUGCACGUUCUUCAUUUCUAAAUACACCUGCCUCCUUCAAACUUUCAACAGGGAUGCUGAGCUCUCUUCCAAGAGAGAGGGACCCUGAGAGCUUCAGGGCAGAAGACCAACUACCCUGAAAGCAUCUCACUGUAAGGAAGCUCAAGCUAGCCACGUGGAGAGAGAGACAGAGACAUGCCUGACCACCUCUCAGAUGUUCCAGUCAUCACAGCUGAUGUUCUGGACAUGAGUAAGUGAGGAAGCAAUCUUAGACAUUUCAGCUCCGGUAGACACCAUGUGGAGCAAAAGAACUAUCCAGCCCAGAUUGCAGGAAUGGGAGAAUUAAUAAAUAUUUGGUGGUG